ACAAGCCUGAGAAACGGCUAGUAGGACUAAGGUCUGCAGCAGGCGCGAAACUUACACAAUGCUAGAUUACAAUUAGCGAUGUAGUGAAGAAAAAUAACGAUGUACUUCCAUUUAAACAUGGUAGUACAAUUGGAAUGAGACGACUAUAAACGAGUUAGUCGAGUAACAAAUGGAGGGCAAGUCUGGUGCCAGCAGCCGCGGUAAUUCCAGCUCCAUUAGCAUACAUUAAAGUUGUUGCGGUUAAAAAGCUCGUAGUUGAAUUUUAGGCGGGCUCUAUUGGGCAGCAAUCGUUAAGGUUUUGGCUAUCAUAUUCAUUCACUUGGAUUGGGUUAAAACUGGUUGUUUUCGCCCUGAUAGGAACCCGCUGUUUCGUCACUUAAUCGAGUGCGAAGCGGGCUGGAACGAUGGUUUAUCUCUUCGGAGGUCCAUGUUACAGCAUGUUUACCUUGAGAAAAUUAGAGUGCUCACAGCAGGCAGUUGGGGUGUAAAAGCUCCUUUAUGCUUGAAUAAUGUUGCAUGGAAUAAUAGAAUACGGCCUCGGUUCUAUUCUGUUGGUCUUAUAGAACAACAAACAAGUUGGUUAAAGCGAUCAAAAGCCUCUUUGUUGGCGUGGCUUUAAGAGUCACCAGUGUGUGGUGUUAUGUUUGGUAGGUGUUGCCUGUGUUUCUAUAUUUCUGUUGCCUGGGGCCUUAAAAUCUCAGCGCCAGGAUUGGUUAUAUUGGGCCUCCUAACUAAUGUAUCAUUCAUCUGGUCAUAGCUCUUUUAGUCAUUUUAAAGCGCUACUUAGUUGGGCUAGCUUUCUAAUCAACUGAGGCAAUGGUUAAAAGAAAUAGUCGCGGCGGCAUCAGUACUGCAUCGUGAGAG
RNAcentral lists this ribosomal RNA (864 nucleotides) under Epitrimerus sp. 18sr33. Its description in RNAcentral is "partial 18S ribosomal RNA". It matches the Rfam family "Eukaryotic small subunit ribosomal RNA", at positions 389 to 910 of the family's 1831-position model. Lineage: Eukaryota; Metazoa; Arthropoda; Arachnida; Trombidiformes; Eriophyidae. The record is from RNAcentral.